UACGGAGGAUCCAAGCGUUAUCCGGAUUUAUUGGGUUUAAAGGGAGCGUAGGCGGCUUGUUAAGUCAGGGGUGAAAGACGGUGGCUCAACCAUCGCAGUGCCUUUGAUACUGACAAGCUUGAAUAUAGUUGAGGUAGGCGGAAUGUGACAAGUAGCGGUGAAAUGCAUAGAUAUGUCACAGAACACCGAUUGCGAAGGCAGCUUACUAAGCUAUUAUUGACGCUGAGGCUCGAAAUCGUGGGGAUCAAACAGG
Molecule: ribosomal RNA, 253 nt
Filed under: uncultured bacterium
Lineage: Bacteria
Description: partial 16S ribosomal RNA
Rfam family: Bacterial small subunit ribosomal RNA
Source: RNAcentral